This 401-nucleotide unclassified non-coding RNA is filed under the name soil metagenome. RNAcentral describes it as "partial contains 5.8S ribosomal RNA, internal transcribed spacer 2, and large subunit ribosomal RNA". The stretch from base 2 to 123 matches the Rfam family "5.8S ribosomal RNA", at positions 35 to 154 of the family's 154-position model. The record is from RNAcentral.
GGAUGAAGAACGCAGCGAAAUGCGAUACUUGGUGUGAAUUGCAGAAUCCCGUGAACCAUCGAGUCUUUGAACGCAAGUUGCGCCUCAAGCCAUUAGGUUGAGGGCACGUCUGCCUGGGCGUCACAUAUCGUUGCCUGAUGCCAGUUUCCUCGUGAUGGGUGACUGUGCAGGGCGAAUGAUGGCUUCCCGUGAGCAUUGUUGCCUCAUGGUUGGUUGAAAAUUGAGUCCUUGGUAGGGAGCGCCGUGAUAGAUGGUGGUUGAGUGACGAACGAGACCCAAUCAUGUGAGACCCCUACCGAAUUUGGCCUUCAUGACCCACAUGCGUCUUUGGAACGCUCAUGACGAGACCUCAGGUCAGGCGGGGCUACCCGCUGAGUUUAAGCAUAUCAAUAAGCUGAGGA